CAGAAGCAGAGGCUCAGUCAGCGACCGCCCUCCACCUGCAGCCCCUCAGAGUCCCAUCCUGCAAGCAGAAGCACCCCUGGGCUGAAGCAGGAGUGGCUGCCCCACGCCACAUGACAGAUCCGCAGGCCCCCUGCGACCCCUCUGACGCGCGCUUGUUCCUCCCCGAGCUCCGCGAUCCCCCCGCCUACCGGGGAAGGAGACCUCGGCGUCGCUGUCCUGUCCCUCCUGAACGCUGUCCUUAUCCGACUUGGAGCCGCCGCGAGAGCGCUUCAUGUUGCGGAAAUACUGUCCCCAGCGCUGC
This is a long non-coding RNA of Chlorocebus sabaeus (green monkey), 301 nucleotides long. RefSeq lists it as uncharacterized. NCBI's taxonomy places the organism in Eukaryota, Metazoa, Chordata, Mammalia, Primates, Cercopithecidae. The record is from RefSeq and is a predicted model, not a curated record.